AUUAUUCUUCCCAUCCAAAGCGGCUUUGACAUCAUCAGUACUGGACGAACAUUCUCGGCUCUUAGCAUCCUGGGAGCAUUUUGCACUCCACUGCACAUUUCCAAAUACUACACCGCUUCCAUCAACCAGACCAUCAAGCUGAUUAUUCUUCCCAUCCAAAGCGGCUUUGACAUCAUCAGUACUGGACAAACAUUCUUGGUUCUUAGCAUCAUGAGAGAACUUUGCCUUCCGCCGUGCUUUUCUAUUCACUACACUACUUCCAUCAACCGGACCAUUAAGCUGAUUAUUCUUCCCAUCCAAAGCGGCUUUGGCAUCAUCAAUGCUGAAGAAACAUCCACGGGUCUUAGCAUCAUGAACCAAAGAUUCCCAUAUAGAUUUACUUCCCGUCAGCGUUCCCUCAUUCCCCAAGAUCCAAAGAGAAUAUCUACAUAGAAGCAGCAAAAAGCAGGGAUUGUUCAUAAAUAACAUCUUAUGACAAAAUUCAAAUCACCUUGGUUAGGCAGGAAUAGAAGAGACUACCUUGCCCUGGUGAUAGUCACAUUGGUUCUCUUAGUGUCAGAAACGAACCCGAUAAAACCACGAGGGUUUGAUCUCACGGUGGAUACUAUUAUGAUGUCUUCUUCACCCCCUUGGAACCCAUCCACUGACCUCACUUUCACUCUAAAGCCUUUGAUAUUCUCAUAACUUUUUCCAAUUUUCUUUUGUAUUGCAGCAACCUGAGCCCCAUAUGGAGAUAUCACACCGACACUUAGAUCUUCGCCUGAAGAUUUGCAUGCUGCAGAAAAACCAAGACGACAUAUUUAGAUUAGCGAAAAGUUUCAACAAUACUGACAUGAAAGUGUUAUGUACACCUGCAAUUACUGUCCUACGUGUCCCGUAAGACUAAGUUAAUGACCCAAAUGACAAGAAAGCACAUCAUCCCCAGUUUCAAACAGCAUUUAAAGCUAUGCAAAUCUCUCCAGACAUCCCAAUAAACUAAAUGGACUUCAUGCUAAGAUUGAACAGAAAUAUUCUUCUCUUACAGCUUCAGCAGUCAACUGCCUGCCUGCCCAUGCUCUACGACAGUAUAGUAAAAGGUGCAUCCACAUAUAUAACCAAACAUGUACAAAGACAUUGUGAUUAUUUGCUUUAAUUCAUACUAUUUGGCAGGAAAUGAUAUAAUCUAGUGAAAUUCUCUCGUGGCGUACCUCCAUAAAGAUUCCUCAAAAUCAUCGAGACAACUCCUACCUCAGCAGUGUUUCUAAGGCUAUGUCCAUCAUCCCCACCUUCUUCUCUUCCAAUAGAAAUAUUUAUGAAGGAGUACGGGCCAAACAUCGGCCACGGCAAAUGACACUUUCUAUAACUUUUGCUGGUAACAUUCGGCCCAUUUUGAAUUUGAUUAUUGUAAAAGGUUGAUGUUGGAAAGCGACUUAUGGCGGGAUGCAUCCUGUACUGGAUAUUGAGAAGGUGCCUUGGAUGACCCAGAGAACCCAACCUUUCAAAUAGACUCCUUCCAAAGCCAGCGUUGCUAGAAAGCUAUAGAAAUGAAAACAUACACAAACUCAAAGGUCAAUUAAGCAUAAAAUCAUCAUGUUUAUGUAUGCUUCCGCAUGUUGUUAGUCAAACACUCAGCAAUGACAUACCUUGCUCUCAACCAUUGCAGGCAACUGACAUUCAUCUCCAACUAAAAUUGUGUGCCUAACACCGCGAAGCUGUAGCGGAAUCAUUGACUCGCAUUCUUUUAACUGCGCAGCCUCAUCAAUCACCAAUAAACUGAGAGGCUCCAUUUUCGUUUCCAUGGCAUAGAGCUUAUAUGAGUUGGAGGCAGUGCAGAAAAUCAAGGAAGCUGCUUGAUAACAGAACUCAGCUAUCUUGUUCUCACCUAUCUUGCUCUCACUCUUAAAUGUUGCAAGGUUUAGCUCUCUAAGAGAUGUGUUAAGAGUUUGCAAAACAGAGAGGCAUUCACGUCUCUUCAUCAACAAUGCUGUAUAUAGUGGAUCUGUCACAGUUUUUAAUGAAGAUGGGUCCGAUGAAAAUGCUUCCUUCAACUUCCCCGAAUCCAACUUCUCUCCACAUAGUGAAACUUCAAAAGAAUCCAGUAAGAUAAGAAGGGACUUUAUAUACCGGAAAUUAUGUUCCAAAAGGAAACUUUUGGAUAUAUGGGUGCAUAAGAUAGAGAAGCACCUACGGAGAGGCUCAGCACUAGACUUGAAUUUGUACUUGAAAAAUUCCAGAAAUGAUUUAACUUUAGGUUUGGAUUUGUUACCAUUAGGCUUCGAUUUAAUCAUGCGUUCAUUCUCCAUAAAAAUGGGGUAUUGGUCAACACAGUCAUUGAGAGUAUCAAUCAUGGAAGGUAGACAAUGCUGCCAACCGGUGUGUACAGAAAAGCACCACGCAACACAAUCAACUCGAUGUUGCAGGAAUAUUUCCUCGGUAUCUGAAUCUACUUUCAUCCGCUCCUUGCUCCCAAAACAUAGCAUGUCUCCUAAGUAAUAGGGCAAGCUUUCCCCAUGAGAAUUUGUGCAAGCCGAUUGUUUCACCAGCUGCAGAACACGAGACACCAAUUCCUUGAUUGCAACAUUUGUUGGAGCACAAACAAGGGUUCUGUGUUUCCUUUCCAAGAGAGUAAAGAGCAGCGCAGCGACAGUUUUGGUCUUCCCUGUUCCGGGAGGACCCUGUAUCAUUUCCACAGCCGACCUGUGCUGACACUUGAUUGUAUUGAGACAAACCCGAAUGGCUUUUUUCUGGGAUUUAUUUAGACUGGCAAACAAGUUCUUAUUGAGACUCUCAUUUCCAGAGCCAUGACUUUGAGUAAUACAGAGAUUGCAAUUUAUCUCAGCCUGCAAACAAACACAUACUCUUCUGAAAAUCCACACCCAAAUAACCUAUGUAAAAGUUAAAAAACUGUGAAAACUGUGUUGAUUAUGUUCCACCCCUGUACGACCUGGACUAAUAUUGAGCACGAAGGAUCUUGUUAUAUAUGAACGAGGUCUAUGACUAAAUAUUCCUCGUACUACUGCAGAAUUGAAAUUUAAUGUGAUUGAGUGACUUGGGGCAAUCUUCUUUUGACUGUUUGGAGGAAUAACAGGCUGACUCAAAAGAGAACAGAGUUCUGUUUCUUUUGUAAUCAGAAUCAAGUUCUGUUGGAGCCAAUAAUAUGUUUACCAUAAAACCUUAUGGAGAUGAUAGGUACAGAAAAAAGUCCUUACCGCUGAAUCCUUAUGGAGAACUCCCUUUUCAAUCUUCAACUUUCGAUAUCUGUGAAGCACAUUCCAUAUCCUAUUGUUGGGGACUGCGUUUAUCACGUAAACUGCAUACAUUUUCUCCCAGGAACAAUCAUCCUUCACUUUGUUAUCCAAAAAUGCCUUGACUCUAAAGUUAGUUGAUGAUUGAGCAUUCCCGUCAGCAUCAAUUUCAGUGACUGAUGCAAAUGCCCAUCCUCCUGCAAACCUUUCUAAGCUGGGUAGGGUGUCCGGUUUAGCAUUAGUUAAUAUCAAAACAUCCCCAGGCAAAGUUUUGUAGGGCUCCUUGCCAUGGUGAGUGGAUCUGUUUCUCCAGUGAUCCACUCCCACAUGAUACUCAUUCUUCUUGCCUUCAGCAAAACCAGUGACUUCCGCGAAAGGCAGGCUAGAUACAGUCUGCAUACUUGAACAGAGACUGGCUCGUGUUUCCUCAAGCAAAGGGAAAAUAUAAGAAGCAAGGUAUUGAUCAACUGAUUGAAAUGACUCCGGGAUGCUCUUCACCUACAGAACGGGUGUAUCGAAAAUCAAACAUGACCAACCAACUUCACUCGAUAGAUCGAGCGACUCUGUUCUCUGUCUAUCAAUGUCACCCAGAUUGGAUAACAUAGCAUAUUUAAAGAGCAAAUAUCCCCCCCGACACCUAAUUAACUUCGCCACACACAGACAGAGAGCAAGGUCCUUCCCCACUAUACAACAUUCCAACUUCACACAGCAAGGCUCACAAAAGAAACAUUGCCAAAGAGCAAAGAACUAACAUCAUUUAGAACAUUUUCAAGCCAACAUCCAUUAAACUUAUACCGAUGAUCAUACGAAAGCGAGAUCAGAACAGCAAACAUAGCCCAAAAAACGGGGAAAAACAAAAGAAAGGAAAGAGACAAAGAAAAGAGAACCUUGUCCCCGUAGAGAUUGAUAUUGAAGAUUUCUUGAAGAGACCAAGAGAAGAUAACAUCAAACAGGUCAGUGCGCUUGUCUUUCUUCCAGCUAGAUCCAGCCCCCGCACCUACUGUAGAAUCCAUGGCCAUCUCUAAAGCCAAGAAAACAAAUCCUUACUUUCGACGAAUAUGUCUGAGAAUUCCAAGCGAACGAGAGAUCAAGAGAGCAAAUAUGAAGAAGCGAGCAGCUUUGUCACUUGCGAGUCACCCUCAUCCGAGAGACGAGCAUUUGAAAAAGGACGAUCGGCGAGUGACCGCGGGCGGUGUGGAAAAGGGACCGGGAAUGGAAGCUGAUGACGACUCGUGAAAAGUCUUGGUCUCCUCGUAUCUGCUAAAGCAUACGACCCGAUUUCGCCAAACCUUCUACCUGCUAAAGCCCGUUGCGCAAUGCACGUCGCUCCUCAUUUAAUGCGAAUCAAGCUAAGACGGAUGCCUUUCCGACCCCAAAAAAGGGAAAAAAGAUGCGAGUCCGAAACCCACGAGCAAUGGUUUGCUCGGGUUAAGCUUUCUUGCGUGCUAAGCUUACGUCACCGUCGCAGUACACACGGUCUUUGCUCGUCUGACAUACAUGGCGGUCGACAAUAAUGUCUGGAGCUUGGAUUGAGAUUGGCAAAGACCCGCGUUCCUUCUUUCCUGGAUUCGAAUGUCAAGGAUGCGUACACGCGUCUACGGCCGGUGCUCAACGUACAUGAGCACUGAAAUCACUUGAGGAGGACCUAAAAACCAGGGGAAACUUUGGGUACACCAGUUGGGCCCGCUAGCAAAAUAUUAAUGCUUUCAUUGGACGAAACGUGUCGCGUUGGCCCACUUUGCGUUGAUUCUCCUCUCACCUACUUUUCCCUCCCUCCCUCGCUUUUUCUUCACCUUCCUCGUCCCUCGUCUUUUCUCUGUUUAGCACUUAUUUUUCUUCUCCAUGCCCGAGGCUCGUGGCUACUUUGGUUGAUGGAGCUCGACCUGGAACUCGGAUGCGCCAUGCGAAAAAGCAACGGAGAAGAUGAUAAAAAGCAAAUGACAUACUGAGAGAGGAAAAAGUAACGAAGAGAGGAGAGUUUACGUAAGGUGGACCCGAUAAGACACGUAUCGCUUAAUGAAUAGACUAAUACUUUACUAAGUUGGCUAACUAGUGUUCCUAAUAUUUUCUCAUUAAGGCUUGCCUUAAUUAGGCCGGCAAGUAGGUAUUUAUGCAUCGGACAAGUGAAAAAGUACUGUUAUAUGGUUAUUUAGGCUUUUUAGAGUGUUAAGAUAAUUUUGGCAACCAAAUCUAAUGAGUGUUACGUAAAGAGAUAUGAAGUUCGAGUUUCCGUGAUAAUUCUAAUUAGAAACAUUGUCAAUGAAAAAUUAUGUGAGAUUCAGGAAAUUAGUGCCUGACAAGUUAAGAAUUUAGUUAAAGAAUAACGAGAUAGAGAUAUGAUUCGUUCCCCAUCAUUUGCACUUAUCAAUAUGGUAUUCUUGGAAAGCAAAGUCUUUUUAUUUCUGGGUCGAAGAAAGAGAAAUAAUUGGAGAAGUGCUUUUUAGUUUACUUUACGCCUGGGAGACUAGAAAGCCUGCAUCGGAGACUACGAGUUUUUUUUUUUUGGAACAAAAAACCCUAUGAGUUAAAAAUCCAUCCACUAGUGAUUUUAUAAAUUAAAUAAUGAUUAUUUAAGACCUCAGGUCAAGUAGGAGGGGCGAGAGAGAAAGAUGAUGGCUCUUGGAAAGUCUUUUGAGUCCCCUCGCACGCCAGAUCACUUUUUGUUCUUAUUUGAAAAAUUAUCCAAAUCAAUCUUAAACAACUAUAUAGAUAUAGUUUCCCUCCUAAACUUUCCAUUUCAUAAAUUAAAAAUUUUAAAUUUUCUCACUAAAUUCCAAUGCCAUCCUUCCAACCAAUUUCGUCGAAGAUGACCAACGUGAUGAUGUGAUUGAUACAUUUUUGGUUCAUGAACAUAUUAAUAUUAUGCGAUGCCUCUUAUUUUUAUUAACAUGAUUGGUCGCUUAAUAAUAAUAAUACUUGAAUCAUUGUUUCUUUUCAUCUCUGGAAUUGUGUAGCUGCCUACCUAAGCCUUUCUAUCGCCUUUUGUUACUAGGUUACCCUUCAAAAAGUCCAAUAAAGAUAAUCAAAAUAUUGUUUUCCUAGUGCCGAGGUCGUUUAAUAGGAACAAUAUCAUGCAAAUAAUUAAAUUCCUAUUGUUUACACUCAUGCAUGCAAUUCUUGAUUAGGCAUCGGUCAUUUGUAUUUACUACCAUUUUAAGUAGUAGGAAAGAGGGAAUUGAAUCUUAAAAUCGACCACAAUUUCAAGAAUCAUCUCGAAAGCCCCUACGAAGUAUAAAACAAAAGAAGAGCAAAAAAGAAAAAUUGGGAAAAUCUUUCAUGCAUAUCAUUCGUUUUAAUUAAUGUGAAACUAGAAUUUUAAUGGUUAGGAUUAAGGUUAGUGUAAUAUCGUCUUUGAAUUCACAAUUUCACAUAAUCGACUUCAUUGCACCCUAUACUAUAUCAGGAAGGCAGGAAUCAACAUCCAGAUAUUUAUAGAUGAAUUUCCACUUCGUACCUAUGACACCUAAACUGAAAAUUCUGCCCCAUUCAUUCAAUCAAAUAUAUCCACACAUAAAACUAGAAAGAAGAUGAAUAAUUAAGAAGGUCCCUGCCUUUUCCAAAAUACCCGGCAUGGGCACAUAAAUUCUGACCCGAAUGAAAAAUUCCUUAUAAAGAAGUUGCAUUUUCCCCUGCUUCUGUCAAAAAGGCUCCGUUUCUAGAAGGGAGCAAUAUGGAUUACUCAAAUACGAAGCGCAUCGAGCCGAGAUCUCAUUUCUUGAUCUGGCUCGGUUACUUCUGAUGUGAGAUUCGCUUUGCUUUGGUGGUCCUGCGAAAGCAACUGCCUUACCACAUGUGAUGAUGAGGGGUGGAAUCUCAUUGAAAGUAGGCUCUCGCUGGCUCCCAGAUUUGAAAUACCAGUACCAUUUGGUUUGACUAGACCCGAAAGAUCUUUUGGUCUUUCAAAAUUCCAUAAAAUUUUUGAAUUCAACAUUUAUAUUCCUAAAUCAUUCAUUCAAAUGUUUGACUAGACCCGAAAGAUCUUUUGGUCUUUCAAAAUUCCAUGAAAUUUUUGUAUUCAUCAUUUAUAUUCCUAAAUCAUUCAUUCGAAUCACCAUUCUAUAAAUAAAUCUAUUUUGAAUUUUAUAAAAUAGAAUGAAUAUUUUAUGGAUUCAUUAUUCAAUUUAAAUAUUAAUUAAAAUCGAAAAAAAGAAAAAAAAAAGAAUUUCUGAACGAAAUGAAAACAGAUAAAAUUAAAAGAAAUAGAAGUAAUACUUUUAGAAAGUCCUUCUAGGGGGUGAGCCAUCAGCGAGAUCACUCUGGAAACUGGAGAGUUAGAAUUCUAACCUUAUAUAAGAACUUAUGGAACUUGAUGAAGAUUAGCCCUCGAGUGCAAGGGCAGAAUGGAGCUUGAUUGCAAGACCCACCCAUGAUCGCUUUCGCUUGAAUUUGAUCUGAACUAUGGAGACGAGCAUUACCACAAGAAGAAUCCCAUGUCUUUGGAACUACCUAAUCCCUAUACGACAGAAAUAUGUGCGCAAAUGAGAUAGUAGAUUGGAAAACUGGGGUACAGGUAAGCGUUCGUUUGGUAGAACUUGGCAUUCAAGCCAGCUUACCUGCAGGUUCUAGUUGCCUAGAACCCAUGCUUGGUCGCCAGGUAGCCUCUCCAUUUAAGGAGGUUAGCAUUUGGACUCACCGUAGUAUUUCUACUACCCUACGUUACCCCGCAGGCAGCAUGCCCCGUUCCCUCCCCUGGCUUUUCUUCCCAGGGAGGUUGGGAAUACGGCAGACCUAUCAGGGACUCCCACCCUAGGAUGGUUCUCCCAUCAUUUAGGAAUGCCUUAAGCAGUUUAAAGACCUGCUCAGGUCUCAUUUGUUGAGGUGAUUUAUCCAGGAAAGUGAAUGAUAUCCAAGAUGAGACUUAUCUCUCGAGACAUUUCUCGUUGCAGCGACUAAUGAAAUCGUCUGCAUAGGCUUUGAAGUCGAUGCCAUGACGUUCAACCAGUUUCAUUGCAUCCCUUAAGGGCAAUACAUCCAAAAUUUUGAAGAAUUGGAUGUAUCUCAGUUCCCAAAUAUUCAGUAUAUCGAUGGUGCACGGCACGUAGAGAGACCUUCGACCUUGAACUGCUUCACCAAUUGAGAACAACUUUUCCGGCUUAAACCCACAUUGCUCUUCACUGGUCUCCAGCCACCAGCAAGUUUCAGUAAGAGGUUCAUUAUUGACACUUUGGUCCUAAGCCACGUCAGCUUUCUGAAAGACUUCAGGAAGUUGUCGCUGAAGAAAACCUAUAGAGACGAAUGAUUGACAGUAUUAUCAUUGAAUCUGCAAAAUGAACAUUCUGAAAUGACGAAUUAGCAAAGAAAACCAUUCGCGCAAGCUGUUUACCCUCCACCAAGCGUUUUAAAAUAGGACACCGUUGUCAUCGAGCAGAUCAUCGAGCUAGAUAUCCUCUUUCUUCCCAUCCAAAAUUGCUUUAACUUCAUCACUACUGGAGGAACAUUCUCGGCUCUUGGCAUCGUGAAAGCAAUUUGCCCUCCUCCUCUCAUUUCUAAACAGUACACUACUUCCAUCGACCGGAUCAUCAAGUUGAUUACUAUUCCCAUCCAAAAUGGCUCUAACAUCAUUGAUGGGUUUUUAUGUUUGAUGGCUUACUUAAGCUCGUCCACUCAUGUUGGGUCAAAACCCGGACCAUAAGUGAAGGGCCCAUAGAAGAGUACAAUUACCGUAAAAUAAAGAAUAAAACAAGGGGGAUUAUCUGAGCAAUUACGAUUAUCUCAGUAGUACCGUUAUCUGAGUGGUAUCAUUUUUGAAAAGAAAAAAAAAAGAGAAAUAUGUUUUCUCUAUUCUAUGUUCUCUAAGUUUUUCCCCCCACAAAUAGUAUGCUCCUCUUUACGAACGGAAUCAGAGCUUCCAAGAAUUCCUCAUAAAACUACGACGACGGUGCUUAAUCUGUGAAAACUAGAUAUGUCCGACUACGUGAUAUACUUUUGUAUCGGUGUAACAUUUUUUUCUGGACAUGUUUUCCACGUUCCUUUUCGGUGUUCGAUUGAAUAUCGGAUCAUUUUAGGAAUUUGUUUCCCAACAAUCAUCAAUGCUGAAGAAACACCCACAGGUCUUCGCAUCAUGAACCAAAGCUUCCUAUACAUAUUUACUUCUCGUCAGUGUUCUCCCGUUUCCUAAAAUCCAGAGAGAGUAUCUACAUAGAGGGCAGCAAAAAGCAGGAAUUGUAAGUAGCAUAUUAUUAUAGCAAAAUUCAAGGCGCCCAGAUAAGGCAGGAAUGGAAAAGACUACCUUUCUCCGGCGAGAGUGACAUUCGUUCUUGUUGGGAAUGACUGAUCCCCGAAAAACCGGAUUCGACACUAAAUCGAACCCCUAAAUCAAUGCGGAAGCAAAGCCCGGGAAAAACCACGUAUCACCGAUCCUAAAGCACACCACGGAUUCGAGCGUACCUUGUUAGCCACAGAUUAGACACCAACACUAAAGAAGGGAAGAAAUUCUGAUCUGAUGAUUUCAAUUGAAGGGUAAACAGUGCCGUUUGCCUUACUGUUCUUUUUGUCUUUUGGAGAGAGAGAACGCGCACAGGAGAAAAGCGUACGUACGUCUGUUUUUCCAACCAGUGUCUUCUCUCUCUCUCUCUCCUCCCUUUUAUACCUUCCCCUUCCACGGGCCCUAUUCCCGUGGGCCGGGCCUUUUGGGCCCAGCAUGGGCGGACGGGCCUUAAGCCCAUCUCAUAAAUCCAUCAUCUCCCACUCGCACAUGGUGGUCCAAAACCAACAUGGGCGGACAGGCCCUACUCAGCCCCAUCAGAGAAAAAUCCAUCAUAGAUUCUCACUUAACAUGAUGGGCCGAAACAGAAUCCUCUUUUCCUCUCUUCAACAUUCAUACCGGUGAAUAAUCCGUGCGACCAGCAUACUUUGAGAGCUCGUUGCCAUACAUCUGUUAGGAAUAUAUAGCAGCUCAUAAUGGGCAUUUCACUCCGAGUAAAUUUAGUAUGCAGUACUCUAGAUCGAUCGAUCACAUUUAUAUCUCUCUUGAUCUCUUUUAAACAAUGAUAUAUAUAUUGUAUUCACAAUUAUGAUUAUGUCUUAUGUGUCCUGCAAGCCUAAGUUAAUGACCUAAAAAUGACAAGAAAGCACACCAUCUCCUGUGUCCAUAAAAAGCUAUGCAAAUCUCUGAAAACAACCCAUGAAACUAAAUGGACUUCAUGGUAAGAUUGAACAGAAAUAUUCUUUUCUUCCAGCUUCGGCAUUCGACAACUGGCCACCCAUGCUCUACGAUAGUAUGGCAAAAGGUGCAUCCACAUAUGUAACCAAAUAUGUGCAAAUAUAUAGUCGUUAUUUGAAUUUAUGUAUAGUAUCUGGCAGGAAACAAUGUAAACUGGCGAAAUUCUCUCAUAGCGUACCUUAGAAUAGAUUCCUCAAAAUCAUCGACACAACUCCUACCUCAACAUAGUUUCUAAGGCUUCAUCCAUCCCCAGCUUCUUCUCUUUCAUUAGGAAUAUCUAUGAAGGAGUACAGGCCAAACAUUGGCUACUGCAAAUGAUAUUUUCUGUAACUUUUGCCAGUAAUAUUUGACUCAUCCAGAAUUUGGUUUUUGUAAAAGGUCUUUAGGGGAAAUCGACUUAUCGCGGGAUGCAUUAUGUACUGGACAUCGAUGAGGUGUCUAGGAUGACCCAGAGAACUCAACCUUUCGAAUAGACUCUUUCCAAAGCCAGCCAUGCCAGAUAGCUAUAAAAAUAAAAACAUUCAAAAACUUAGAAGGUCAAUUAAGCAUAAGAUGAUUCUUAUUUAUGUAUGUGUUGUGAUAUAAUACACGGAAACGGCAGAAUCUUGCAAUUUACGUCAACGCGAAAUCACCAGAGAAAUAAAUGAGAAAAAUAGGGACACAAGAAAUUUACGUGGUUCGGUCCGAGUAUCGGUACCUACGUUCACGGAGAGAGCCGGCAGUAAAUAAUCCACUAAAAUUGGAGAAUCAAAAUUUACAAUCGUUCAAACGCUCAAGUGUUUCCUACACCUAAAUUUAACCCAAACCCAAAGUGUUUAUAAAUAAACAACUCACUUGGGAAUAAACUCACAACACAAAAUUACCACGCAUUCAAGCUCAAAACACAAUGCUCUACAUACGCCUAGUUUGCGUACGUAUGAAAUCGCGUAUCUCUUCAAGCUUCUCGCGGAGGACUUGCGGCUUCGUUGAUCAUUGGACGCGCGCUCCGAAGGGUUUCUUUCAGCAGUCUAACGCCUAACGCAGAAAGAACGAUUAUGUUCUUAUAUAUGUGGGCCCAGGUCAAAGGCCCUCCACCACUUUUGGAUUCUUACGCAUGGAGGACUUCAUGCCGAACGUGUGUGUGUGUGCGCAAUAGUGUGCCCAAGGUCAAACCAAGGUCAAAAGUUUGACUUUGGCCCCCACCAAUUUUGAUUCUUCAUGUGGAGGGCUUCAGCGGCUUCUUUCUUUCUGUUAAACUUGCAGCGGCGUCUUUCACAAAGAAAAGAAGACUUUGACAACUUCACUCCAAAAGGGAAAAUUCAUCUUUUAAUUAUUUCAUCUUUUGUAAUUUCAGCAAAUCGCGUUUUCGUAAACACUCAAACUCGAGUAAUACUUUAAUAAUUCUCCACCUUGGCUCAAUGUUUGAAGUUAAAUUAUAGUGCUUAUCAUCCAUGCUGCUCUCCCAACGCCCCAACAGGCGCUCACUCUCCACAGAUGCCAAUAGAGCUCAAGCAAAACUUGAGCUUCGUUAAAGGAACAUACUUAGUCAUCAUGUCUGCCGAGUUAUCUGCUGUAGCAAUCUUUUUAAUAAUAACAAUACCUUUAGCUAAGACAUCUCGGAUGAAGUAAUACUUGAUGUUAAUAUGCUUCGUUCGCUCGUGAUAAACUGGAUUAUAUGCUAAAUAUAUCGCACAUUGGUUAUGACAGUGUAUAUAAACACUUUUCUGUCCUAACCCAAAGUUCAAGAGCAAACUUUGUAAUCAUAUCGCCUCCUUCGCUACAAAGGUUAGUGCCAUGUACUCUGCCUCAAUUGAAGACAAGGCAAUGUGAUCCUGUAAGGAUACUUUCCAACUAAUUGCACUACCUGCUAGCGUAAACACAUACCGUACUAAAGACUUGCAAUCAUCCAAGUCACCGGCAUGAUCCGAAUCCACAAAACCAGUGGUCUCACUACCAUUACUGUCCCUCCGGUAUACUAUACCCACGUCUAUUGUCCCCUUCAAAUAUCUGAGAAUCCACUUCAUAGCUUCCCAAUGAGCUUUACUAGGACGCUUCAUAUAGCGACUAACCACGCUCACAACUUGUGAAAUAUCAGGCGUAGUGCACACCAUAGCAUACAUAAUACUACCAACGGCACUAGAAUAAGAAACACAUGACAUAUGCUCCUCCUUCUCCUCAGUCUGCGGUGAUAAUUUAUCUGAAAUUUUAAAGUGCUUCGCUAAAGGUGUAUUUACAGAUCUUGCUGACUGCAUAUUAAAACGUGCUACGAUCUUCUUAAUGUAUUUCUUUUGAGAUAGAUGUAAAAUUCCUGCAGUCCUGUCACGCAAAAUCUCCAUACCCAAUAUUUUCUUUACAGCACCUAAAUCUUUCAUCUCAAAUUCAACAUUUAACUGCAUCUUCAGCAUAUCAAUAUCAGACAUAUUCUUAGCUGCUAUCAGCAUAUCAUCAACAUAUAAAAGUAGAUAAAUCAAAUAACCAUCAUCCAAUCUCCUAUAGUAAACAGUCUAAGAGACUGUUUCAGCCAAUACAAAGAUUUCUUUAACAAGCAAACAUAAUCUUCCUUACCCGGAAUAGCAAAUUCCUCUAAUUGUCUCAUGUAAAUCUGCUCCUCCAACUCACCGUGAAGAAACGCAGUUUUCACAUCUAGCUGCUCUAAUUUGAGAUCCUGCGAAGCAACUAAGGCAAAUAAAACACAAGUAAAAGUAUCUCUUACCACAGGAGAGAACAUCUCAUUGUAGUCAAUGCCCUCACGUUGUGUAUACCUCUUCGCCACAAGUCUCGCCUUAUACAUUGCUGUCUUGAUAUCGAGAAUGCCCUCUUUCCGUUUAAAGACCCAUUUACUUCUGACAAUCUUUUGGCUCUUGGGUUACUUUGACCAGCUCUCAUGUUUGAUUUUCAUGGAGUGAUUUCCAUCUCUUCACUCAAGCCCUAGCCAUUGCACGACUCCGAACUAGCCAUCGCCUCAGAAUAAGACGAAGGCUCAUCUGUCUCCACUUUAUCACCUACAGUCAAUGCAUAAGCAAUAUUUGUAUAACCAUAACGUAUUGGUGAUUUAAUUUACCUUCUCUGUCUAUAUGCAACUAUAGUCUGCUGCGGCUUUGCUGGUUGUUCACUAUCACCAACUUCAGGAACUGUGGCUUCAUCUGCAGUCUCAACCUCCGUUACCUUCGAGGUCUCCGGAGUCUCCACUUGAAGCUCCACCUCACUUAUGACACAAAGAUCUGUCUUCUCUGCUGGUUGUGUCUCAGAACUCCUCUGUUGAAGCAUUGUAGUCUCAUCGAAUAUCACAUCUCUGUUGAUUAGAAAACUGGGUAAUCUGGGAUCAGUGCAUCACAGCCGGUAGCCUUUCACCUCAUGUGCAUAAUCCAGAAAUAUGCACUUCUUCGCCCUCGGCUCAAGCUUACCAUCACUCGCAUGAGUAUACGCAGGACAUCCGAAUAUUCGUAAUCCGGAAUAAUCAACAGGUUUCCCCAUACUUCCUCAGGAGUCUUCCACUCGAUAGCAAAUGAUGGAGAUCGAUUAACCAAGUAACAUGACAUAUUCACUGCUUCGACCCAAAAUUCCUUGCUAAGAACAUGCGAAAGCAUGCAUCGAGCUUGCUCAAGCAAAGUUUUGUUCUUCCGUUCUGCCACACCAUUCUGAUGUGGUGUCCCAGGUAUCGUGCGAUGUCUUAGAAUACCUUCUUUCUCGCAGAACUCGGUAAAAUCUUUACCACAAAACUCCAUGCCAUUAUCGGUUCUCAGGCACUUAAUCUGUUUAUCUAACUGCUUCCCAAUCAAUGCCUUAAAUUUCUUGAACUGAUCAAACACAUCAUAUUUGUGCUUUAGAAAGUAUACCCAUAUUUUUCUCGAAUAAUCGUCGAUAAAAGUCAGCAUAUAUCGAGCACCUCCUUUCGAAGGAACUGAAGGCGGGCCCUAAACGUCUGAGUGAAUAUAUUUAACUGGUCGUUUGGUCGAAUGAAUAGCUGUAGUAAACUUAACUCAAUGCUGCUUCUCAUAGAUGCAAUACUCACAUAAGUCCAGCUUCCCUGUCUUUUGACCAUUCAACAACCCCUUUCACUCAGCAUCGUCAUAGCUACCUCACUCAUGUGCCCCAAAAGCUUAUGCCAUAAUUGAGUCAAGUUAGAGUCUAACUCAUCUCAUGAAAAUGCAGCGGUUCCGGUCACGGUCUCUCCCAAUAGAUGAUAGAGCGUAUUCACUUUCUUCCCCUUCAUCACUAUCAUGGCACCUUGAGAGAUCUUCAGUACUCCACCUUCAGUGGUGUACCUACACCUGAUGUCAUCGAGUGUCCCUAGAGAAAUAAAGGUUCUUCUUGAACUCCAGUACAUGCCUCACAUCUGUCAAUGUGCGAACUACCUCAUCGUGUAUCCGGAUCCGAAUUGUCCCUAUCCCCACAGCCUUUUUUUUUUUGGUCGGUCCUACACUAAGCCUACUUUAACACUCAUUCUCAGACUUUUGCUCUGCCUCCUUGCAGGGCGUGGGAGUCGAAACCCACUUCUGAAAUGAAAUCGUCCCCACCCCAAUCCCUCCUGAGAAGGUGGGGAUUUGAACCCCUCACCUCCCCCUUCCAAGCUGGAAGGGUGGCCACUGGGGUGAACCCCCAGUGGUUCUAUCCCCACAGCCUUACAGACUGCAUUAUUCCUCAAAAGAACCCUAUCACCAUCUGCAUCUCGGUAAGUAGUAAACCAGUUCUUAUGAGGCGUCAUAUGAUAAGAAUACCCCGAAUCUAGCACCCAUUCAUCUCCUAAUGAAGUAGCAGUCACACAUAAAACAACUUCUGCAUCACUGGUGCUCCCUUCAGCAACGUUUGCCACAUUGCUUGUGGCAUUCUGCUUAUCAACUUUAUUUCUCCGCUUUGGACAAUCUCUCAUGAUGUGCCCCUCCUCAUGACACUCAAAGCAUUUCACGCGUCCCUUGGACUUUCUAUGGCGUGAUUUUGAUAUGCUUUUACCUCUGCUACUACUAGGCUCUCGAUGUUGUUCUCUACUCCGAAUUGUUAGUGCUUCCGCUGUUCCUUUCGCUAGACCGUCAUCUCGCAACUUUCUCUGCCACUCCUUAGAGAAUAAGGUGGAUUUUACCUCUUCUGAGGUAAUCGUAGUACGCCCCCGCAAUAGUGAAUCGGUAAAGUGCUUCCAUGACUCUGGUAAAGAGGCUAACAACAUCAUGCCCUGCUCUUCAUCAUCAAGUAUCUUACCGACGUUCUUCAGAUCCAACAUAAUUUUAUUAAAUUCAUCUAGGUGGGUUCUGAUAGACGUACCUUCAGUAUAUCUAAACUCAAACAUCUUCUUCAGCAUAUACAAGCGAUUGUUCAAAUAUUUCUUCACAUAGAGUGCUUGAAGUUUUGCCCAUAACAUUACGGCAUCCUUUUCCUUAGCAACCUCUAUUCAUCUGUCAAAUUUAACAUGAUUAUACUCUUUGCUUUUUCAAUCAGCUCUACCAUCUCAUAGGCUUUCAUUAUAAUCGGCAACUCAUCUUCACCAUCUAGUACCUUGACCAAACCUUGUGUUGUCAAUAAUGCCCGCAUCUUGAUGCUCCAUAACACAAAGUUGUUACUCCCAUCCAACUUCUCAAUCUCAGAUUUCCUCUCAGAUAUAAUUGCAACAACAAAAUUUUUAGAUAAUAAUCAAACAAGCAAAAGCCCCAAAUCACAAUCAAGAAAUCCAAUCCCACGCUCUGAUACUAAUUGUUGGGAUAUAAUAUGUGGAAACGACAGAAUCUUGCAAUUUACGUUAACACGAAAUCACCAGAGAAAUAAACGAGAAAAAUAAGGACACUAGAAAUUUACGUGGUUCGAUCCGAGUAUUGGUACCUACGUCCACGGGGAGAGCCAACAUCAAAUAAUCCACUAAAAUCGGAGAAUCAGAGUUUACAAUCGCUUAAAUGCUCAAGUGGUUCCCACAUUUAGAUUUAACCCCAAACCCAAAGUGUUUAUAAAAAAAAAAACUCACUUGGAAAUAAACUCAUGGCACAAAAUUACCGUGCGUUCAAGCUCAAAACACAACGCUCUACGUACGCCUGGUUUGCGUACGUACGAAAUCGCGUAUCUCUUCGAGCUUCGCGCGGAGGACUUGCGGCUUCGUUGAUCGUUGGACGCGCGCUCCGUAGGGUUUCUUUCAGCAGUCUAAUGCCCAACGCAAAAAGAACAAUUAUGUUCUUAUAUAUGUGGGCCCAGGUCAAAGGCCCACCACCACUUUUGGAUUCCUACGCAUGGAGGACCUCAUGCCGAAUGUGUGUGCGUGCACGCGAGUGUGCCCAAGGUCAAACCAAGGUCAAAAGUUUGACCUUAGGCCCCACCAACUCUGAUUCUUCACGUGCAGGGCUUCAGUAGCUUCUUUCUUUCCGUUAAACUUGCAGCGGCGUCUUUCACAAAGAAAAUAAGUGUGAAAAGAAGACUUCGACAACUUCACUCCAAAAGGGAAAAUUCCUCUUUUAAUUAUUUCCUCUUUUGUAAUUCCAGCUAAUCGCAUUUUUGUAAACACUCAAACUUGAGUGAUAAUUCAACAGUAUGCAUGGGCAUGUUGCUAAACAAACAUUCAGCAAUGGCAGCCCUUGCUUUCAACCAUAGCUGGCAAUUGACAUUCAUCUCCAACUAAAAUUGCGUGCCUAACACCUCGAAGUUGUAAAGGAAUCAUUGACUCUCAUUCUUUGAGCUGCGCAGCCUCAUCAAAACAUUAGUCGAUAUCAGGAGCCGAACGCGUCUUUCCUUGUGACUUCGAAUUCGAGCUCAAUCAAAUUUCAUCUGUAGUUCUCAUGGCAUAAUCAAGGCGGCAAGAAAGAAUGUCAUAGCUCAAUGUUAUUGAAUAUUGUGCCAAUGCGACAUUAUUGAGCCAACACGUGAUGUUUAUUUCGAUGCGAGCCAAGCAAUUUAGUUAUUCGUGCUUUCCAUACUGCGGAACAACAAUGAUAUCUUCUUCGCUCGGGUUUUUGUUCUGCUUCCAUUGUUUUCCCUAAUGAAAGGUUCCUAUGGUUAUUGAAUUGUUAAAUAGAAGUAGAAUGCACAUAAGUCAUCUAAAGAUGGGCCUCCGCUUUGCGGAGCAACCUUGAUCCGUUGGGAUGGAGUGGUUUUCUUUCUGAUUUUUCCAAAGUUAAAAGGGAUUAAAAGACAGUCACUUUCCCUUUCCAGUUAAGAAACAGGCUUUGCUUGUCUUGAGCCGAAAGUGAGAAUGGUGGAGGAGCACUUGGCUUUUAUGACUGGUGUGCCUUUGCGGGACUGCUAGGUUUCUUUAGCUUUCUACAGCCAUACAAGAGAGAGAGAAAAAAAAAAUGCCAUUUAAGGACCCUGGGGAAGAUCGCCGGGAGGGAUAAGGGAUAAAUGAAGAACGAAGGAUGGAUGAAAUGGGGAUGUUUUUAUGUAUUUCUGGCGGAAUGAAGUGCUGGGCGUGAAUGAGAUAUGGUUACCGAACCAAACUAAUUUGAUUCGAGAAAAGUGCAAUACCAGCUGGGCCUACACUCGUGCUGCGUGGAGUGUUCGUGCCAUGUAGGGGGGAUCACCCCCACUUGGGUUUUAGCUCGUGGGUAUCGGGUUCAUGAGAAUAAUGGAUAUUUCAUAUACUAACUUGCUUAGGGUUUGUUUACUUGAGUUGGCUUUCUUGUCUUAUAACCAAAAAAAAAGACCCGGCAUUUCCAUCGUUCAGAUUCAUUUCAGUACAUAUAAUACGCUCCACGUGAUGAUUUUCCCCUUUUCCGUUGUGGAAUCUCCUCCAUGACAUCUCCAUCUCAACUUUAUAUUAAAGCUCUGGGCCCCCUAGAUGAACGUAGGCCAGCUACUCAAGCUAAAAAGCCCAUCUCCUAAAAGGCCCAAUUUGAAGACCCGUUUGAACCCUUUCGGGCCAUCCCUCUGGCAACAGUCCUCGGGUGAGGGCCACUCGUGGAGGAGGCCCACUGCAUCGCCGGACCGGUUUAAAGUGCAUGAAACGGAUCCAAUUCACCCUUUUCUUUUCAUUGAUGAACCGGUAGUCCCUCGAGUAUGUUAGGCAUUAAAUCCUACUUUUUUUUUUUUUUUACAAAAAUUAUUCUUUCCAGACUUAGGCUCUGCUCGCAUAGACUAGAACUCUUCAAGCAAGAAAACAAAUCGAUGGUCCUUUCUUUUAUUUUUCUACAAAAUUAAUUAUUAUAUAUAGAAAGUUACCAUCAACAAAUUGUUGCAUAUUGUGGAAUGUGCAUAGUGUACAUGUACAGUAAAUUCGCAUUCGCAUUCGCUUGGAAAAGGGAAACGGAAACCCAUCGAUUUUCGGUGUGAUUAUUGCAACCGACAGUAGCGUGGAGAUAGCCGUUGAAGAAGUUCACCUUUUUAACCCUGACGUGCGCUCGACUUUCCUAUUAUAUGAGGGUUAAAUUCGGAAGAACACGAAAACUGAGGGGAAAUACCCGAUCUAACCCCUCCUCCCCGCUCCGCUCGUCCUCUCUGUCAGGCCAAACGAAAACAGAGACAUCACUCUUCUGCAUCCUCCGCUCUUCUUCUUCUUCUUCUUCGUCUGCGUUUCCCUUCUUUGUUCUGGGUCCGCGUGCGGCCGAUCAUCGUUGACGGCACAGAGAGAGAGAGAGAGAGAGAGAGAGAGAGAGAGAGAGAGAGGCAGGAUCGAAGAGGACGGAGCCGCAUCUGGGUCCGCGUGCGGCCGAGGCAAGGCCGAGCGGCGGCGGCAUGUGGGUUCCGUUCUGUGAGUCUCUGGAAACUCGACCGCUCGUAAAUGUUUCUUUCUUUCUUCCUUGACGAUGACGCAGUAUUAGAGUUGUUUGUUGCUAGUGCUCGUUGAUUGUCCUGUUCUUGCUCUGUUUAGAUUUCUGCAGCUGUAAUCUUGUCGUGAGUUUCGGUUUUUUUUUUUUAAUUUGGGGUGGGGGGGGGGGAGGCUCUGUUGAAUUUGUCUUGUUGUGCUGCACUACGAUUGUGCUGUUUCCGGCGUUACAUAUCCUUAAGCCUUGGCAUUGUCUUGCAAAAAAUCUCUCGACUCUGCUGCUUUUUACCAAUUUUCUUGACCGAAAGAUCAAAGUAUAAUCCUGUAGAGGUGCUCGAAUCAUCUGCUAUUCAACUUUUUCUUAAUUUUUCCCAGCCAUCUUGGAUGUUUAUCUUGAAAACUGUCUCUUGAACUAACGUUUGUCUUGUGUAGCUUUCGAAUUAGUCUUCGAAAUUGGGUUUCUAACAAAGCCUUUUCUGAAAAUUCCGCUUUGAGGAUGGACAGGUUUUCUUUUCAGUCAAUAUAUCAGCCUAAACUAAAGUUACUUAAAUCCUCUUGACGUUGCCCUGCUUUGCUAAGAUUCCUUUCUUUUACAAUCCUUCUGACUCUUUCCUUAUACCUUCUGUGUUUUUCUUUUUCUCUUUUUUUUUUUUUUUUCAAUUUUCAAAAUAGACAUGAUAUUUCGACAAUGACAGUUUAACGAGUGCACCAAGAAAAAAAAAAGAAUCCUUUUUCGGGUCAAAAAGGCAAUAAUGUCAAUAUGACAAGAUUUCUUAAUUUUCGUAAAUAUUUAAGAUUGAAUUGGUAAAAGUAUAAUAGAUUUAGGACUUUUUAGAAAAUUUAUGUUGCAAAUAUUUAGGAUCAAUGGAGUAAUUUUUUAAAGCUUUUUGCCCAAUGCAUGUGGCUUUGCAAGACGGGCUUCUUCAUCGUUCCACACUUUUGCAAAGCGAAGGAGUUGAAUCCCACAAACCAACAAACGAAAGUUGCUUUGGGUAAAACGCUUGUUAAGCUUACUCGCAUUUACAUACACACUGUUUUUCCUUGUUUGAAGUUACUGGUGUCAGGAAUGUUUGGAGUUGGGAUUUAGAUUAACAAGCGCGUGUUCCUUUUUCAGUUUUAAAUGACCAGAGGUGUGUGUACACGCGACUCGAUCUUACGACUGGUUAUGGAAAUUAGGAAUGAGAUGUGGUCGUGAUUAUUAGUACAAGAGUACUAAGAUUAUACGAUGAGGACCUAAAACCAUAGUCCCCCUCAUGUAUUUCAAACUCACCGCACGACAGAUGGAUGAAUUGUCUCUGUACAUGUUUUCAGGGACGGUAGUACAUGCUAGUGUCGAUUGAUUAGCCAACUUGCUUUGCGAAACAAUUCAUUCGCCGUUAUAGAAUUCCAACCUUUGAGAGGAUUAGUUCCUCUUAUUUUAGCCUUUGGGUGAAGGGUACCAUUGCAUAGCUGUAUGGGCUUUUUGGCUCCUUUUUUUUUUUUUUUUUUUCCUCAAGUUACGAUUUUGCUUAUGGUAUAACGAGAUAAAAGUAUCUUAUCGUUCAUUUCCCAUCAUUUUCACUUAUCAAUAGGCUUAAUUCCAAAAAAAAAAAAAAAAAUCAAUUUUAGAUCAAGUAACAAUUCUUGUCCCAAUUUUUUUGUCUCAUAAAUAAUCACGAACGUUCACCAUUUUCCCAAAUCUGGCCUCCAUUAUUAACUCUUUGUCUAAAGCUAGUCGUGAACUUGGCAGAUCUUGUCCAUUGUGUCUCUCGACGGGCGAUGGUCCACAACUUCAUAUUAUAACAAAACUGUAAAGCUUGGUCAAAGAAAUUCAAUCCGAAGAUUUUAAGUGGCGGAGAUGAUGAACAAUUUCACCAUUAUUUUUCAAGCUAUGGCUUAGAGAAGAAAACAAUGAAUAGUGCUUUAAAUCCAACCAACAAGUGCACAUGGAUUCAUUGCUAAGGACAUCAAUGAUUCUAAGUUAAGGGGGCCAGAUUUGGGAUUCAAGUGAAAGUUGAUGCUUUUUUUCAAGACAAAAAAAAGUUUGGGCUAUAAUUGUCACUCAACCUAAAGUUAAUAUGUUUUUACUAGACAAAAAAAACUUAGAAUUGUCACUCAAUAUAAAGUUUUUUUUUUUUUUUGGGAAUUACCCCCUUAUCGAUAUGAAAUUUUUGAAAAAUAAAUAGUUUCAGAAGUGCUUUAGUCAACUGCUUCUCUUCAACGUUCACUACAAGCCAAGUCAACAUUCACUCACGGUUUAAUAGACAAAAUACUGAUCAUACUACUAAUGAUAACUUAUUUUUAUACGGGCGUGCGGCGUGCGCCAUUGGUUUUUUUUUUUUCUUGUAAAGCAUCACAUGAUAAUAAUAAAAUACAUAACUUUUGCAGAAAAAUGGAAAAACUCGACAUUAAUUUUUUUUUUCUCGUUUUACAACCAUACAAAUUAUUUCCUUAGAAUUAGAAUAAUACUAUUUUUCAAUAACUGAAAACAAUCGGGUAUUUAAAAUUCAAAAAAUAAAGGAAAAUAAGACAAACAUUUUUAUUUUUUCCAUAUAGAUGAGGGCAAAAAUGAGGUAUUUGCAACGUAAGAACAAUUAAGAAAUUUGAUCAAGUACUCUUUCUCAGUCGAAAAGGAGUCGCUAAUUUCUGUGUUUUACCAUUUUAUCAUUUUUCUUUGGUCAAUUUUAUCACUUCGAAUCACAAUUAAAAAGAUGAAUUUACGAUUUCUUUAACGAUAGCAAAGGAAUUCAAUAUUUUCCCUUAAGCUUCCGUUUGUUUUGCGGAAAGUAUUUUUCAGGAAAACACUCUCCUUAUUUUCUGUGGUUUGGUUUGAUUAAGAAAAUGAGUCAACAAAAAAUAUUUUCUUAGUUAACAUAUGGCCUAUACCUAAAUUCAGAAAAAUGAUUUUCUCUUUGAAAAAUUGGAAAAUAUUUUCCAAAAUAUGAGUAGGUAUCCAUGUUUGAAUCUAAAACUUUACCCUUGAGCAAUAUAGGUCUUCAAUGCUUGGAUUUGGAUGCAUCGAUGUUAAGCCUAGGACCCUAAUGACUACUAUAGGGUCCAUCGCACAUCGAGGCUAGGCUUGAAGCCUUGGUGCCUGUGCCCGAUGCCUGGCACAUGAGCCCGAGUCCAUAAAGGUUAGCUUAGAUCCAGGGCCAUCAAAGGGGUGGGGAUGUUAUGUAAUGUUGUCUGUGAAUUCACAAACUCACGUUGGCCAGGUCACCCAAAUCCCAUAUUAAAAAUCAUUCGUUUUACAUCAUUAUAAUGAAAAAGCAAAGUAUAAAAGGAAGCUAUAUACAUUCUUGCGUGCGACCCUGCACAAAGUAUAGCAUGCAAAGACAGAAAACGAAAUCCGAAGUAUAAAGGUAAUCCAAGCCAUGUCCAGAGAUAAAUUUUCACCCUAUAGUUCUGUGUGCGAAUAAAGCAACCAAAUAUAUACAAGCGUCAAACUAGCAGAAGCUAUAUAGUUGAGAAGUUCCACGCCUUACUCGAAAAUACCCGGCACAGGCACUGAAACUCCGGCCCGAAUGAAAAGUUCGUUGCAAAGAAAUGGUAUUUUCCUUCCUGGUAAAAGCAUCAAUCAGCUCCUUCCCCUGAAUCUGUCAAAAGCACUGAAGAGGGAAUUCAGAAAACCGCCGAAGGGGGAAUUCUGGGAACUCUUCUCUCGAUCUAGCUCAGUUACUUCAGAUGCAAGAUUCAAUUCGCUGUUGGCGACCUCCGGUAACAAGUGCCUGACUACACUUGAUGAUGAGGGGUAGAAUGUCAUUGAAAGCAGGCUCUCUCUUGCUCCUGGAUUCGACGUAUUGGCGCCAGAACUGCUUCCAGCUUGAACUUGAUCCAGACCGAGGAUACGAGCGAUGCACUGAGGACAAUCCCAUGUCUUCGGAACUUCCCAAUCCCUAUAUAACAGAAGAUAUGUGCUCAUAUAAGAUAGCAGUUCGAAAAAGAUCUAUUCAAGUCAGCUCUUGUGAUCAUUUAUCCACGGAAGUGAAUCUUAUAGACUAUUGAUAAAUCUUCGAUUGGAAGUUAGGCAAAAAAGACGAGACUUACCCCUCCAGACAUUUCUCGUUGCAGUGAUUAAUGAAAUCGUCUGCAUAUGCUUUGAACUCGCUGUCGAGAUGUUCAACCAGUCUCGUUGCGUCACUUAAAGGCAAUACAUCCCAAAUCUUCAAGAUUUGGACGUAUCUAAGUUCCUUUAGUAUAUCAACAGUGCACAGCAUGUAGAGACCUUCAACCUGAAAUUGCUUCACCAUAGGAGAAGAGCUUUUAGGGAGUAAACCCCCGUUGCUCUUUUUAGGUCUCCAGCCACCGGCGAGUUUUGAUAUGAGGAUCGUGAUUGACAUCUUGGUCCCAGGUGACGUCAGCUUUCUGAAAGACUUCACAAAGUUGUCGCCAAAGAAAACCUACAGAGACAAGAUGGUUGACAAGAAAACGUAAUGUCAUUGAUUCUGCAAAAGUCGAAUGUCCAUUUUGAAAGAAAAGAAAACCAUCAGCAAAGUGAGUUACCUUCCACCGAACAUUUCUAAAUAGGACACUAUUUCCACCAAGCGGAUCAUCUAGCAGGAUAUCCUCUUUCUUCCCAUCCAAAAUGGCUUUGAAUUCAUCAGUACUGGAGGAACAUUCUCGACUCUUAGCAUCCUGGGAGCAUUUUGCACUCCACUGCGCAUUUCUAUAUACUACACUACUUCCAUCAACCAGACCAUCAGGCUGAUUAUUCUUCCCAUCCGAAGCGGCUUUGACAUCAUCAGUACUGGACGAACAUUCUCGGCUCUUAGCAACAUGGGAGAAUUUUGCACUCCGCUGUGCAUUUCCACAUACUACACCGCGUCCAUCAACCGGACCAUCAAGCUGAUUAUUCUUCCCAUCCAAAGUGGCUUUGACAUCAGCAGUACUGGACGAACAUUCUUGGCUCUUAGCAUCCUGGGAGCAUUUUGCACUCCACUGCACAUUUCCAAAUACUACACUGCUUCCAUCAACCAGACCAUCAAGCUGAUUAUUCUUCCCAUCCAAAGCAGCUUUGACAUCAUCAGUACUGGACGAACAUUCUCGGCUCUUAGCAUCCUGGGAGCAUUUUGCACUCCACUGCACAUU
This 24103-nucleotide long non-coding RNA is filed under the name Eucalyptus grandis. Its description in RNAcentral is "long non-coding RNA (EGRA_LNC003821)". Lineage: Eukaryota; Viridiplantae; Streptophyta; Magnoliopsida; Myrtales; Myrtaceae. The record is from RNAcentral.